CCUACGGGAGGCAGCAGUGGGGAAUAUUGGGCAAUGGAGGCAACUCUGACCCAGCAACGCCGCGUGAAUGAUGAAGGUCUUCGGAUUGUAAAGUUCUUUUCUAAGGGAAGAAAAAAGUGACGGUACCUUAGGAAUAAGCCUCUGCUAACUACGUGCCAGCAGCCACGGGAAUACGUAGGAGGCAAGCGUUAUCCGGAAUGACUGGGCGUAAAGGGUGCGUAGGGGGUUUGAUAAGUUGGUAGCGUAACUCCGAGGCUCAACCUCGGCACUACCACCAAAACUGUCGGACUUGAGUGCAGGAGGGGCAACUGGAAUGCCUAGUGUAGCGGUGGAAUGCGUAGAUAUCAGGCGGAACACCAGUGGCGAAGGCGAGUUGCCGGACUGCAACUGACACUGAGGCACGAAAGCGUGGGGAGCAAACAGGAUUAGAUACCCGGGUAGUC
RNAcentral lists this ribosomal RNA (443 nucleotides) under uncultured bacterium. RNAcentral describes it as "partial 16S ribosomal RNA". It matches the Rfam family "Bacterial small subunit ribosomal RNA", at positions 338 to 795 of the family's 1533-position model. The record is from RNAcentral.